AAAAACCAUAAAGUCUGUAGUAUAUUCUAUCUCUGUCAUGCUUUGGAUGGAGUUAUGUCUUGGGGGCAGGGGAUUAAUGGCGGAAAGACACAUAUGUAAAGAAAGAGGAAAUUAAAAAGGGUAGGUGCAACUCCAGCCAAACUUAAUUUCUGUGAUUGUCCCUCUUAAGACAAUUACAAUAUAUAUUGAUGAUACACACAUGGCACUGUCCUGUUCAGUGGAGGACUUCAAUUUUUAUUUUAUUUUUUUAUUAUUUUUAUUGUCCUCUGGGUAUGUUGAUAUUCAAAAAAUCCAUGUCAAUACCUUGCAGCAAAUUGCUGUGCUGAUGGGGACGGUGGUUAAUUUGAAGUGCCCAGAGCUUCACGGUAUGUGUAUAUAUAUAUAUAUAUAUAUAUCUUUUAUAAUUCCCUCCAUGCCCAUACUUAUGCUUCUUCCAAAAUCGACUUAAUUAAUUUAUCAUCUCCUCCCUACUGAUCUCUACCUACCAACAAAACGUAUUCUUCUGCAAGUGAUCCAUCAUCUCUUUCUUUUCUUUUCUUUUCUUUUCUUUUCAUUUUUUUUUUGAGAAAAAGAAAUUAAUGGCGAUCAGACGUAGCAAUAUCACAACUACUGUCUGCCUCCUCCUUCUCCUCUUUGCGAUCCCUUGUUUUUCAAGAGGUUAGUAUAUGUAGAUGUAAUUAUUUGUAUCUAUCUUUUAUUCUUUUUAUAUGAAUUAAUUAAUUCGGGAUAUAAUAACUUAAAUUGUAAUUAAAAUUGUGUGUGUUUGCAUGUAUGUUAUAGGAGGAGCCAUGGAUAUGGAUUCAGAGGUGGUUUAUGAGAUUGAUUAUAGAGGUCCUGAAACUCAUUCCUACAUUCCUCCUCCAGAUAGAUCAGCUCACCGACAACGUCUACGUGCCAUGCCGCAUCGUAGAUCUAAAGGACACAGAGCGGGCAAUGCCGCCGGAGCAAAUGUAUGAAAUUACUAAUUAAGAACCCUUCCUAAUUUUAAUUAUAUUUUCUAGGUACGUAUUUCUUAAUUAUUCUAUUACUAUAUAUUUGGAUCUCAUUUUUCAGGUGAACAACAAAAUUCAUGGAUGAAUUAAUGAAUGAAGAAGUUUUGGUAAUGGACCUGAAAAUAUAUUAUUAAAGUGGGACUAGUUAAUAUGAAGUUAACUUUGGUAAAUUGAAUAAUACAGUGUCGACAUGCAGGCCGGGAGGUUCUCUCUCUUUUGCGUGUCAGCGCUGAAUGGAUUAAUUAAUCAACUUACCAUUAAGUUAAUUUUAUGAUAACGGAAUUCUAUUAAAGUUGUGUUAUUUAAUUCAUUUUGGAUAUUAUCAUGAAGAAGUUUGUGUAAAGGGUGAAAGGGAUUAAUAUUGUGCCUAUUAUUAAUUCUCUUCUAUUUUUAGUUUUAUUUUAUCAUCCCUUCUGGGCUAAUUGUUUAAUUAAUGAUUAAUAUUAUGGAUUAAUUUUGGGAGACAAAAA
Molecule: long non-coding RNA, 1462 nt
Filed under: Panax ginseng (ginseng)
Lineage: Eukaryota; Viridiplantae; Streptophyta; Magnoliopsida; Apiales; Araliaceae
Description: long non-coding RNA (PGIN_LNC017304)
Source: RNAcentral